RNAcentral lists this ribosomal RNA (547 nucleotides) under uncultured bacterium. RNAcentral describes it as "bacterial SSU rRNA". It matches the Rfam family "Bacterial small subunit ribosomal RNA", at positions 355 to 894 of the family's 1533-position model. The record is from RNAcentral.
UGGGGAAUUUUGGACAAUGGGCGCAAGCCUGAUCCAGCCAUGCCGCGUGUCUGAAGAAGGCCUUCGGGUUGUAAAGGACUUUUGUCAGGGAAGAAAAGGAUAGGGUUAAUACCCCUGUCUGAUGACGGUACCUGAAGAAUAAGCACCGGCUAACUACGUGCCAGCAGCCGCGGUAAUACGUAGGGUGCGAGCGUUAAUCGGAAUUACUGGGCGUAAAGCGGGCGCAGACGGUUACUUAAGCAGGAUGUGAAAUCCCCGGGCUCAACCUGGGAACUGCGUUCUGAACUGGGUGACUAGAGUGUGUCAGAGGGAGGUAGAAUUUCACGUGUAGCAGUGAAAUGCGUAGAGAUGUGGAGGAAUACCGAUGGCGAAGGCAGCCUCCUGGGAUAACACUGACGUUCAUGCCCGAAAGCGUGGGUAGCAAACAGGAUUAGAUACCCUGGUAGUCCACGCCCUAAACGAUGUCGAUUAGCUGUUGGGCAGCUUGACUGCUUAGUAGCGAAGCUAACGCGUGAAAUCGACCGCCUGGGGAGUACGGUCGCAAGAU